UGGGGAAUAUUCCGCAAUGGACGAAACCCUGAUGCAGCAACGCCGCGUGAGUGAUGACGGCCUUCGGGUUGUAAAGCUCUGUCUUCAGGGACGAUAAUGACGGUACCUGAGGAGGAAGCCACGGCUAACUACGUGCCAGCAGCCGCGGUAAUACGUAGGUGGCAAGCGUUGUCCGGAUUUACUGGGCGUAAAGGGAGCGUAGGCGGACUUUUAAGUGAGAUGUGAAAUACCCGGGCUCAACCUGGGUGCUGCAUUUCAAACUGGAAGUCUAGAGUGCAGGAGAGGAGAGUGGAAUUCCUAGUGUAGCGGUGAAAUGCGUAGAGAUUAGGAAGAGCACCAGUGGCGAAGGCGACUCUCUGGACUGUAACUGACGCUGAGGCUCGAAAGCGUGGGGAGCAAACA
RNAcentral lists this ribosomal RNA (402 nucleotides) under uncultured bacterium. RNAcentral describes it as "bacterial SSU rRNA". It matches the Rfam family "Bacterial small subunit ribosomal RNA", at positions 355 to 774 of the family's 1533-position model. The record is from RNAcentral.